CGAUGCUGGAGAUGCUACUGCUGCUGGAGAUGCUGCUGCUGCUGGAGAUGCUGCUGCUGCUGGAGAUGCUGCUGCUGCUGCUGGAGAUUGCUGCUGCUGCUGCUGGACGCGCGAUCUCUACACAAGACAACGCUGGACAUCAGGACCAUGUACAACACAACGUGCUGGAGGAAAUCAGCGAGUCAGUCAACAUCUGCGGAGGAAACUUGACAAGACGUUUCGGGUUCGGUCAAGUCAGAACUCAAAAGCUGUCUCCCUGGAGGAUGAAGCGUCCCAAGCUAAGUUAUCACAUUAAUGCUCCACAUAGCACUAAUCUACUCUAGUAUCGUUUUAACUCUAAUUCUCUAGUACACAUGCAUUUUAUACAUAGUCAUCCACACAUUGCAUGGAAGUGCUGAAGCGUCCCAAGCUAAGUUAUCACAUUAAUGCUCCACAUAGCACUAAUCUACUCUAGUAUCGUUUUAACUCUAAUUCUCUAGUACACAUGCAUUUUAUACAUAGUCAUCCACACAUUGCAUGGAAGUGCGGUGGUAAGUAUUUUGUCAGUUACAUUGUGGUCAUAGCAUGUAUACAUAUAUAUAUAUAUAAAGGAGGCAACUUGGUUUCUCACUCUCGCAUGUUUCCCUACUAUUCACCCGCUUUCCACAUCAUCCAGUGACACCAAGCAUAGUUUACAGUGGACAAUUAACCUAUCAAAUGCAAGCAGGUUUUUAGGAAGCCGGAAGACAACAGUGACAACGUGCAAAUUGAAGCUAGACAACAAUGGAGGCCACGGCGCUGUGCAGAGGAAAUGGACACGACAUUCCAGUUUGGGUCGUUCGGUCAGGAACCUUCAGAUUCCAGAGAAUUGCUGGCACUUCAUGAAUCUGUGGUUCCGAAGGACAUCACUCAGCCCUCAGCAACUCAGGUAUCAGAAGAACUCACAUGAUGCUCUACAUGGAUGAUGAAGUGAAGCUACGGAAACAUAUCUAAGUGGAUCAGGAAGGAUCUCUGGGUAACAUGGAUAGGUGACACCUCUUCAGACAAAUUUAAGUAUUCCUUUAAUUGUUACACAUGCACAAAUAUGCACAUGACAUGCGUCAACCAAAACAUUGCACUAUUUUACAUCGUGACAACACUAUAAAGCAACCACACAACAUUGUCCAAAGUAUUAAGUAUGUUAAACUAUGUUUAUAACCUAAUGAGCAAUCAUAGAAUUAACAAUGUAUGUGUUAGCAGAAUGUAAUUUUAGCAUAUAUUUAGUAUAGUUUAAACACCCCCUGGUCUAUCCAAUAAGCAUGUUAGGAUAUUCGGAGGAAACCGGUAGCAACCCAGAACAGAGUUCACAGCAUGACACCAACUUGCAUACUUCACAAAGACAACAAUGGAGGUCGUCGAGAUCUCAACUGUGGAGGAAAUGGUCAGACAAUGCUUUGGGUUUGGUCGGCUUGGACCGUAGGAAUUGAGCUGGAGGUGGGAAGGGUUUACUAACGUUUUGGGGACAUUGUCAAUGAAAAAACAUUACGUUUGCUCUGGGGUCUAUGUAUAUAAUACAAUGCAACUCUGUAAGUAUGUUACUGGAUAGGUCUGUUUGUUCGUUAUGAAUGGUGCAAUUGUAAUAUUGCUCAAUGGUUUAUAAUGGUACUUUAUUGUCACUACUUGUCCUUUGUCAGGUGAUGCCCUCAAACCACGCUCCUGAUCUGAUACCGAUACCUCCUCGACACAGUCUGUGGCGGAGAGCCGAAGAUAAGAAGGUCCUGUGGCGGAUGAGCCGAAGUUAGAAGGUCUGUGGCGGAUGAGCCGAAGUUAGGUCUGUGGCGGAUGAGCCAAAGUUCAUCCAACGUUUUAGAAGAAAUGAAAUGCUGUUUCCUUGCAAGGAUGAGGUGAAGCGACAGGUCCAAAGCUAAGUUAUCACUUAAUGCCAGUAUUAAGCUUAAGCUUUAUCUCUAACUGUUAGUACACUUACUCAAAUAUACGAUGUAUAAAAAACUUUUUUAUACAUUGUCCUUGGAAACGUGGUGGUAAGUAUUUUGUCAGUCACAAUGCUGUCAUACCCAUAUGUAACAUACCCAUACAUUGUAUACAUUGCAGUGGGCAAUUAACUUGUUAAACAAGCACGUUUUUAGGAUGAGCCGGCGGUGGAAGCCAGAAGACAACAGUGACCGUGCAAACUCCAUGCUAGACAACAAUGGAGGCCAGGGUGCGGUGCAAAACGACAGACGACGUUCCGGUUUGGGUCAAGUUCGUUGGGAAACUUCUUCAAAUUCCAGAGGUAUUCAGUGAAACUGGUGAUGUGUUGAUGUCCUCCACCGCUGCUCCGCUGCUCUUGGCCACUUGGUGCAACGCCUGAUCCACUCGCGCUCCGAAGACCAUCACAGCCCUCGAACUCCAGGACGCCCACCUUGCAACCCACCCAGAGCCGCCUCCAAGCUACAUGGAAGUUAUCAGAGGAAACUCGCAUGCUCUUUACAUGGCGAUGAGGUGAAGCUCCGAUCAGGAAGGAUCUCUGGGGAACAUGGAUAGGUGACACUGGGUCAGAACCCCCUUUUCAGGCAAAUCUAGGUAUUCCUUUAAUUGUUAUCUUGUUACACAUACACAUAUUCCACAUAACACACGACCAUGUAAAAUAGUGCUAUGUGAUGGUUGUGACAAAUUGUAACAAAUACUACAAAGUAAUCACACAACAUUGUCCAAAAUAUUUGUUAAACUAUUUGUAAAAACUCUGUUCCUCUCAAACCCUAUGUAACAAUUACACGCCCAAGGAGCAAUCAUAGAAUUAACAAAGUAUGUUAGAAGAAUGUAAAUUUUAGCAUAUGUAAUCUAGUUUAUACACCCUGGUAUAUUUUAUGCAUGUGGACCAGUGCUCUUGUAUUCUUACCAGUGCCAUUCCCCAGAGCCACAGUGUGACAACAACUUGCAAACUCCAGAAAGACAACAAUGGAGGUCGAGAUUGUAAUUGUAACGUAAUUUGAUAUUCAUUGUUAUUGAGCUUCGCUUAAUUGUAAUAUAACUAGUUUAAAUGUAACAAAACUAAUUGGAUUUAUUCAUUGUUUAGUUAACUGAAUUAAUGUAUGUUAUUGGAUAGGUCUGUAUUAUUGCCAAGCAGUGUUCAUUGUUAAUAUUAUUGAAUAGCAGAAUUGUAAUUAUUGAAUAGCAGAAUUGUAACGUAACUUGAUAUUCAUUUGUUAGUGAGCUUGGCUUGUAAUAUAACUAAGUGAGCUUGGCUUGUAAUAUAACUAGUUUUAUUGUAACAAAACUAAUUGGAUUUAAUUGUAAAUGUCUUUUCGUUAUGAACUUUGAGCAAUAUUAUGGUACUUCAUUUUCACC
Molecule: long non-coding RNA, 3306 nt
Organism: Leucoraja erinaceus (little skate)
Lineage: Eukaryota; Metazoa; Chordata; Chondrichthyes; Rajiformes; Rajidae
Exons: 7
Source: RefSeq, a predicted model, not a curated record